CAGCCUCUCAACCUGCUUAAUACCAGCUAUGCUAUGCUCAUAAGAAGGCAUUCCUGGGACCUUAUAUCCUACUAUGUUUACAAGUAAAGAGUUUACAGCUUUGUCUGCUGGUGGUAUUUGUGAGAAGAAACUUUCUUCCAUAUAUACAUUGCAAAACACUUUACUUCUGGAGUGCGAUCAUCUUAAGAUCUGCACAGCCAAUGGGAAUUCAAAAGAGUCCUAGAUCUAAUGUUGAAAGGAGGCUUCACGAAGAUGGUUUGUCUCUUCCCAGCAACUUUUUAGUAAAAAGCUUAACUGUUGACUACUGUGAUAUCAAUUGCAAGGUCAGCUGAAUUUGAC
Molecule: long non-coding RNA, 339 nt
Filed under: Coturnix japonica (Japanese quail)
Lineage: Eukaryota; Metazoa; Chordata; Aves; Galliformes; Phasianidae
Description: lncRNA (ENSCJPG00005002253.1)
Source: RNAcentral